This 417-nucleotide ribosomal RNA is filed under the name uncultured bacterium. Its description in RNAcentral is "bacterial SSU rRNA". It matches the Rfam family "Bacterial small subunit ribosomal RNA", at positions 917 to 1333 of the family's 1533-position model. The record is from RNAcentral.
GGGCCCGCACAAGCGGUGGAGCAUGUGGUUUAAUUCGAUGCUACGCGAAAAACCUUACCUACCCUUGACAUACUCGGAACCUUCUAGCAAUAGUUGGGUGCCUUCGGGAACCGAGAUACAGGUGUUGCAUGGCUGUCGUCAGCUCGUGUCGUGAGAUGUUGGGUUAAGUCCCGUAACGAGCGCAACCCUCGUCCUUAGUUGCCAGCACGUAAUGGUGGGGACUCUAAGGAGACUGCCGGUGAUAAAUCGGAGGAAGGUGGGGAUGAGGUCAAGUCAUCAUGGCCCUUAUGGGUAGGGCUACACACGUGCUACAAUGGGCAGUACAAAGGGAUGCGAUGUCGCGAGGCUGAGCAAAUCCCAAAAAGCUGCUCCCAGUCCGGAUUGGAGUCUGCAACUCGACUCCAUGAAGUCGGAAUC